Benincasa hispida (wax gourd) is the source of this 1391-nucleotide long non-coding RNA. RefSeq lists it as uncharacterized. NCBI's taxonomy places the organism in Eukaryota, Viridiplantae, Streptophyta, Magnoliopsida, Cucurbitales, Cucurbitaceae. The record is from RefSeq and is a predicted model, not a curated record.
GCUAAAACUUGAAAGUAACAGUGUCUGGCACCCCAUUCGGUCCUUCCCCUUAAUUCCCUCCAACGUUGGGGAAUGUCGUCAAUUCUCUGCAGUCAGCUGCUUGGUAGAGGUAGACAGAAUCACAAUGCUCAUUUCGAGAACAAUACCAAGCUACCUCAUCUUAGGGAAUGUACUAUGUGUCUUGAGCAUUCUAUCGAGAUUCCUUCCUGGGAAGAUGAACCAGAGAGAUUGCUGCUUUUUAACCCCGAACAUGACAUAUGGCUUGCGGCAGAUCAAUUGAUCAUUGGUUGGCUUUACAACACAAUAACGCCCGAAGUUUCCACACAAGUCACGGGACACGAUGAAGCCAAAUCUUUGUGGGAGUCAAUUCAAGAGUAUUGGAGUGCAAUUCAGAUCGCAAGAAGAUCACAACAGACAAAUGCUACAAGAAACUCGCAAAGGUAUGAUGACCAUGUGACUACCUGUCUACCAUGAAAAUUUAUUUUGAUAACUUCCAACUUGUUGGAUAUCCUAUGGGUAUGAGAAGUUUUAUUUCUUAUGUUGUUGUUGGACUUGGUGAUGCAUAUACUCCAAUUAUUUGUGUUAUAAGAAGUCAAGAACUGUCUUGGAGCAAAAUAUAGUUUGAAUGAUUGUCUUUUGAAGAACGUUAUGAACAUCUUCAAACUCGUAAGAACUCUAUUUCAAUUAAUCUUGUGCAAGCUGAGAAACUCAAGAACAACCAACCAUCAUCCAACCCGUCUUCAUCAAAACAGUUCAAUAGAUCUCCCCAGAAUCAAUUCAAUCGUGGAGGAAGGAAUAGGGGACAAGGAAGGUAUUCCCCUUAUCCAUUCAAUAACUGGCCUAUGUGUCAAAUUUGUGGAAAAUUAGGGCAUGCGGCUGUCAUUUGCUAUCACAGGUAUGAUAAGAAGGAUAACCACUGGCGGAGUCCAACAGUUCAAACACCAAUCCUGCCUCCCCUACCUUUGUCGAACCUUCUACUCUUCUUCCUUAUCUCGAUACUAUCCAAGAUUCUGCUUGGUAUUUGGAUAGUGGAGCAACCAAUCACAUCAUAUAUGAGCUAGGCAACCUCACAUUCAAAGAGAAUAUUCAGAAAUGAAAUCCAAGGUCAUGGUGUUGGAAGGCAUCGUUGAGAAUGGGCUCUACUGGUUGCUAGGAUUUUUGGAAGCCUCAAACCUAUCUAUUGGAAAUAAGGAAGCUUUGAUGAUCAACAUAGGAGCAACCAUUUCUGUGAAGACCACAAUCCUCAAUGCUACAAGACACUUGACACCUCUUCUUAGUCAUGCUUUUGUCUCUUAUACAAAAAAUGUAUGGCAUCAAAGAUUAGUCCAUACUUCUUGAAUUUUGAGUCAAGUUCUUCAUCAAUGUAAAGCUUCCAUUAAAGAUAAUGAAAA